GACAUCCUUUGACAACUCUAGAGAUAGAGCUUUCCCCUUCGGGGGACAAAGUGACAGGUGGUGCAUGGUUGUCGUCAGCUCGUGUCGUGAGAUGUUGGGUUAAGUCCCGCAACGAGCGCAACCCUUAAGCUUAGUUGCCAUCAUUAAGUUGGGCACUCUAAGUUGACUGCCGGUGACAAACCGGAGGAAGGUGGGGAUGACGUCAAAUCAUCAUGCCCCUUAUGAUUUGGGCUACACACGUGCUACAAUGGACAAUACAAAGGGCAGCGAAACCGCGAGGUCAAGCAAAUCCCAUAAAGUUGUUCUCAGUUCGGAUUGUAGUCUGCAACUCGACUACAUGAAGCUGGAAUCGCUAGUAAUCGUAGAUCAGCAUGCUACGGUGAAUACGUUCCCGGGUCUUGUACACACCGCCCGUCACACCACGAGAGUUUGUAACACCCGAAGCCGGUGGAGUAACCUUUUAGGAGCUAGCCGUCGAAGGUGGGACAAAUGAUUGGGGUGAAGUCGUAACAAGGUAGCCGUAUCGGAAGGUGCGGCUGGAUCACCUCCUUU
RNAcentral lists this ribosomal RNA (552 nucleotides) under Staphylococcus argenteus. RNAcentral's name for it is "bacterial SSU rRNA". It matches the Rfam family "Bacterial small subunit ribosomal RNA", at positions 983 to 1533 of the family's 1533-position model. Lineage: Bacteria; Bacillati; Bacillota; Bacilli; Caryophanales; Staphylococcaceae. The record is from RNAcentral.